UCAAAUGACUCUCGGCAAUGGAUAUCUCGGCUCUUGCAUCGAUGAAGAACGUAGUGAAAUGCGAUACUUGGUGUGAAUUGCAGAAUCUCGUGAACCAUUGAGUCUUUGAACGCAAGUUGUGCCAGCGGCCUUGUGGUCGAGGGCACGCCUGCUUGGGCGUCAUG
This 164-nucleotide ribosomal RNA is filed under the name Boesenbergia sp. NFL-2003-4. RNAcentral's name for it is "5.8S ribosomal RNA". It matches the Rfam family "5.8S ribosomal RNA". From Rfam's summary of the family: 5.8S ribosomal RNA (5.8S rRNA) is a component of the large subunit of the eukaryotic ribosome. It is transcribed by RNA polymerase I as part of the 45S precursor that also contains 18S and 28S rRNA. The record is from RNAcentral. Lineage: Eukaryota; Viridiplantae; Streptophyta; Magnoliopsida; Zingiberales; Zingiberaceae.